GAUGAACGCUGACGGCGUGCCUAAUACAUGCAAGUCGAGCGAACGGACGAGAAGCUUGCUUCUCUGAUGUUAGCGGCGGACGGGUGAGUAACACGUGGAUAACCUACCUAUAAGACUGGGAUAACUUCGGGAAACCGGAGCUAAUACCGGAUAAUAUUUUGAACCGCAUGGUUCAAAAGUGAAAGACGGUAUUGCUGUCACUUAUAGAUUGAUCCGCGCUGCAUUAGCUAGUUGGUAAGGUAACGGCUUACCAAGGCAACGAUGCAUAGCCGACCUGAGAGGGUGAUCGGCCACACUGGAACUGAGACACGGUCCAGACUCCUACGGGAGGCAGCAGUAGGGAAUCUUCCGCAAUGGGCGAAAGCCUGACGGAGCAAAGCCGCGUGAGUGAUGAAGGUCUUCGGAUCGUAAAACUCUGUUAUUAGGGAAGAACAUAUGUGUAAGUAACUGUGCACAUCUUGACGGUACCUAAUCAGAAAGCCACGGCUAACUACGUG
RNAcentral lists this ribosomal RNA (497 nucleotides) under uncultured bacterium. Its description in RNAcentral is "partial 16S ribosomal RNA". It matches the Rfam family "Bacterial small subunit ribosomal RNA", at positions 28 to 507 of the family's 1533-position model. The record is from RNAcentral.